UGCAGAAUCCCGUGAACCAUCGAGUCUUUGAACGCAAGUUGUGCUCGAAGCCAUUAGGCUAAGGGCACGUCUGCUUGGGUGUCACGC
RNAcentral lists this ribosomal RNA (87 nucleotides) under Heracleum bivittatum. RNAcentral describes it as "partial 5.8S ribosomal RNA". It matches the Rfam family "5.8S ribosomal RNA", at positions 73 to 154 of the family's 154-position model. Rfam says of the family: 5.8S ribosomal RNA (5.8S rRNA) is a component of the large subunit of the eukaryotic ribosome. It is transcribed by RNA polymerase I as part of the 45S precursor that also contains 18S and 28S rRNA. Lineage: Eukaryota; Viridiplantae; Streptophyta; Magnoliopsida; Apiales; Apiaceae. The record is from RNAcentral.